CUCCAGAAGUGGCCGAGCCAACCCGCAAGGGAGGCAGGUCCCCAAGGAGGGGUCGGUAACUGGGGUGAAGUCGUAACAAGGUAGCCGUAGGUGAACCUGCAGAAGGAUCA
This 110-nucleotide ribosomal RNA is filed under the name uncultured eukaryote. Its description in RNAcentral is "partial small subunit ribosomal RNA". It matches the Rfam family "Bacterial small subunit ribosomal RNA", at positions 1418 to 1525 of the family's 1533-position model. The record is from RNAcentral.